RNAcentral lists this long non-coding RNA (1409 nucleotides) under Manihot esculenta (cassava). RNAcentral describes it as "long non-coding RNA (MESC_LNC001485)". Lineage: Eukaryota; Viridiplantae; Streptophyta; Magnoliopsida; Malpighiales; Euphorbiaceae. The record is from RNAcentral.
UGAGGACAGCAUAUUUGAAUGCCAUGUUUUUAUUCAAAUUCUUGUUGAUAUUCUAAUUUGAGAAUAUGGUAGUGUCAUCAGAAUUUCAGAUGUUGGUGACCCAGAAGGGUUUAGAUGAUGAUUGGUUUCUGAUGUUCUUAUCAAAAGAAAUUUUUUUGUUAUAAUAAAGGGAAAAAAUUUUGACAUCCAAAAUACUUUUAUUUCAUUAGUUGCUAAAGCAAAAUAAGUUCAUCUUGGACAUUUUAAUUUCUUUGUAAUUAAAACAGAGUCAUGCCUUCAUAAACUCUUUCAAGAUUUUAAUGAAUAAACAAAUUUAUUUUUUCAAAAAUUAAUGUUUUGAAGUUUUAACAAUAUUGCAUACUACAAUGAGUCAAAGCACUUCUUUCACACUCCAACAUUUGCACAUAAUUAAACCAAGCAUCACAUAUUAAGAGGAAAGAGCUAAAAGAAAAUACAAAACAUCAAACAUUUUUGUAUUUCAAUCAAACCCAUACAAUACUUAAUGUACCUAAGAUUUUAAUCAAACUCACUCAUCAAAGAUUUAUAAAGAUGAUUGCAUGGGAAGGAUAGGUUAUAGAUUAAACAAAUCAAGAUUUCUUAAAAACAGAAAAUUACUGAAAUCAUAAAAUUACUGAAAUCAUAUUCAUUACACUCAAAUGGAGACUUAAUUAUUGAUGAAGAUCUCAAAAUCAAACUAUGGAGACUUAAUUAUUGAUGAAGAUCUCAAAAUCAAACUACUCAAAUGAUGGAUUUGUCAAAUCUAAGUUCAUUGCACCUAGCUUCAUCAAAACCUAGAUAACAAGUUGUUUGUUGAUUGAGAUCUCAAGCCAAUAUCUUUAUAGAAUCCAAGCUAAUUUGGUGCGAUGGAGCACAAUUAAUUGGUGGGUAUUGGUUGAGAUGGAAAAUUAUUGAAGCAUAGGCGAUAGGAAGAUGAUUGGAGCUUUGAGUGAUGCCAACAAUGUUGUGUGAGAUGAAAGAAUGAAAGAGAGAGGGACGAGAGAGUUUUCUAUGAUUGGUGACAAGGAAAUUGAGAGAAAAGAAAAGAGAGAAAAUUACAACAAUUUAGGGUUUUAAGGUUAUUCGCCUAGGGUCUUAUAAGCUUGCCAAAUUAGAUGGUCAAGUCAUUUCAUCUAGCUAGUAUAGAGGAGGGUUACGCUCAGUUCAAUAUUGUUAUUAAAAUAAACAAAAUGAAAAGCCACCAAGAUUCUCCAACUGUUGAGAUGUAGCUGGGUGACUAAAAGUUUAUGGAAUCGAAGGACUUCAGCAAAAAUGGGUCUAUGGGGAACCGAAAAUCCGCGUUGGAGGAGGAUCUUGAGGUGGAACUUUCACCAGGAUUAAGAGAAGAAGAGGAAGUAUUUCUAUUCAUUCUAAAAAGAAAAAAGAACACAGAAAGCACCAUAAAAGCAAGG